GGAAUAUUGGACAAUGGGCGAAAGCCUGAUCCAGCCAUGCCGCGUGUGUGAAGAAGGUCUUCGGAUUGUAAAGCACUUUAAGUUGGGAGGAAGGGCAGUUACCUAAUACGUGACUGUCUUGACGUUACCGACAGAAUAAGCACCGGCUAACUCUGUGCCAGCAGCCGCGGUAAUACAGAGGGUGCAAGCGUUAAUCGGAAUUACUGGGCGUAAAGCGCGCGUAGGUGGUUUGUUAAGUUGAAUGUGAAAUCCCCGGGCUCAACCUGGGAACUGCAUCCAAAACUGGCAAGCUAGAGUAUGGUAGAGGGUAGUGGAAUUUCCUGUGUAGCGGUGAAAUGCGUAGAUAUAGGAAGGAACACCAGUGGCGAAGGCGACUACCUGGACUGAUACUGACACUGAGGUGCGAAAGCGUGGGGAGCAAACAGGAUUAGAUACCCUUG
RNAcentral lists this ribosomal RNA (440 nucleotides) under uncultured Pseudomonas sp. RNAcentral describes it as "bacterial SSU rRNA". It matches the Rfam family "Bacterial small subunit ribosomal RNA", at positions 358 to 790 of the family's 1533-position model. Lineage: Bacteria; Pseudomonadati; Pseudomonadota; Gammaproteobacteria; Pseudomonadales; Pseudomonadaceae. The record is from RNAcentral.